Molecule: transfer RNA, 72 nt
Organism: Camelus ferus (Wild Bactrian camel)
Lineage: Eukaryota; Metazoa; Chordata; Mammalia; Artiodactyla; Camelidae
Rfam family: tRNA
About the family: Transfer RNA (tRNA) molecules are approximately 80 nucleotides in length.
Source: Rfam
GAGGAUAUAGCUCAGUGGUAGACUGCCUGCUUAGCAUGCAGGAGGUUUUAGGUUCAAUCCCCAGUACCUCCA